Molecule: ribosomal RNA, 476 nt
Filed under: uncultured Planctomycetales bacterium
Lineage: Bacteria; Pseudomonadati; Planctomycetota; Planctomycetia; Planctomycetales
Description: bacterial SSU rRNA
Rfam family: Bacterial small subunit ribosomal RNA
Source: RNAcentral
UUUCGCAAUGCCCGAAAGGGUGACGAAGCGACGCCGCGUGCGGGAAGAAGGCCUUCGGGUUGUAAACCGCUGUCGGGAGUUAAGAAAUGUAAGGAUGUUAAUAGCAUCUUUGCUUGACUAAGGCUCCGGAGGAAGCCACGGCUAACUCUGUGCCAGCAGCCGCGGUAAUACAGAGGCGGCAAGCGUUGUUCGGAAUUAUUGGGCGUAAAGAGCACGUAGGCGGCUAUGUAAGUCGGUUGUGAAAGCCUUCCGCUCAACGGGAGAACAGCAUCCGAUACUGCAUGGCUUGAGUGCGGGAGGGGAGAGUGGAACUUCUGGUGGAGCGGUGAAAUGCGUAGAUAUCAGAAGGAACGCCGGCGGCGAAAGCGGCUCUCUGGCCCAUAACUGACGCUGAGUGUGCGAAAGCUAGGGGAGCAAACGGGAUUAGAUACCCCGGUAGUCCUAGCUGUAAACGAUGGGCACUAAGUAGAGGGGUU